Long non-coding RNA from Pogoniulus pusillus (Red-fronted tinkerbird), 1941 nucleotides. RefSeq lists it as uncharacterized. NCBI's taxonomy places the organism in Eukaryota, Metazoa, Chordata, Aves, Piciformes, Lybiidae. The record is from RefSeq and is a predicted model, not a curated record. The transcript has 2 exons.
CUGUGCUCCACAACCUCCCUGGAGGUGUUCAAGACCAAGCUGGAUGAGGCCUUAAGUAUCCUGUGCUGGUCAGAGGUUGUAGGUCCUUUCCACUGCUUGUUGGCAGUGUUGGUUCCAGCAGAUAAAUUUGGGUCCUGUGAGGAAGAGGGAGGGGAGGGAGUUACUAAAACCUUACUUCUAGUCAGGUCAGAUCCCAGCUACUUUGUUUUCUAGCCACUGAUUUGCACAUCAGCCCCCUAGAAAGCAGGCUGAGCUGAUCUGGGGUGUGAUUGAGGCCCCCAUCCCUGGAGAUCAGACUCCUUGGGCAGCCUGCUGGAGCUGGAGGUGUCCCUGUGAAUGCAGUGAGGGUUGGACAGGAUAAGCUCAGAGGGUCCCUUCCAACCCAGUGCCACCUGUGAAGCUGUGACACUGCAGAUCAAGGUUUAUUGACUGAGACAGAAAGUUUCUCUGAGGACUUUGCCCCUGAAAAUUGUGACUUCUGCCAGCUGAGUGCUGUAGAAGGAGCUACUGCCUUCUGCUCAGGUCACAGCUUGAAACUGUUUGCUUUUCCUGCCUGCUCUUCACCUAAUUCCAGGGCCAGGUUUGCUUUAAAGGGACACAGGUAGCUCCAGUUUGACAGGGAGGGGAAACUUCUAACUUCCAGGUGAGACCCAGCAGCAGCUUUUCCAGCUCAGUGCCAGUGUCCUGCAAGACAUUUCCUGCACAGUUGAGCAGUUCUGAACAGUUAAUGACUGCACACAGGCAGGGAAAGGCCUGGGGGCAUUGGGUAGAUCUGCAGAAUUGCUGUGUUGGAGUUGCAAGAUGUUGCCUAUAAAGAGCUUUAUGUUGUGUUGCCUCUUCUUUCUUGGUGGGACUUCUGCAGAACCUCAUUACAGCUGCAGAGGUGACCUUGCCCAGCAGAGACAGCCAGGGCCAGCCCCCAGGGUGAGGUUGCCCAGCAGAGACAGGCAGGGCCAGCCCAGGGUGAGGUUGCCCAGCAGAGACAGGCAGGGCCAGCCCAGGGUGAGGUUGCCCAGCAGAGACAGGCAGGACCAGCCCAGGGUGAGGUUGCCCAGCAGAGACAGGCAGGACCAGCCCUGGGGUGAGGUUGCCCAGCAGAGGCAGGCAGGACCAGCCCAGGGUGAGGUUGCCCAGCAGAGACAGGCAGGGCCAGCCCCAGGGUGAGGUUGCCCAGCACAGACAGGCAGGGCCAGCCCUAGGGUGAGGUUGCCCAGCAGAGACAGGCAGGACCAGCCCUAGGGUGAGGUUGCCCAGCACAGACAGGCAGGACCAGCCCAGGGUGAGGUUGCCCAGCACAGACAGGCAGGGCCAGCCCCAGGGUGAGGUUGCCCAGCACAGACAGGCAGGACCAGCCCAGGGUGAGGUUGCCCAGCACAGACAGGCAGGGCCAGCCCCAGGGUGAGGAGCUGCUGGCAGUUCUGUGCAGAAUUGGCUGGUUGGGAUAUCAAAGUGCUGCCUGCCUCUGUCGAGUUGCCUCUUGUCUCCCGGUGGGGCUUUGCAGUAGCCUGUUGAGGGCUGCAGAGAUGCCUUCGGGCAGCAGAGACACUGCCUUUGAAGUCCUCAUCCAGGGCAGAUCUAACAGGUCCUGGGCCCAGUCAGGGCACCAUUCAGAUUCCUUUUUUCCUCCCCUUUUUUCCCUCUUCCCUCUUUGCCUGGCACAGUCUCAGCUCUGGUGUUAUGAUGUGGGUGUUCCUGCUCAUCAUGCAUUCAUCAUUAAAAGUUUUCUUCCUGUUUAAUGUUCUUAACUAUUGCAAGUUAGUUUUAGACUUCCAGUGUAGCCUCUCCCCCCUUCCCCCCAAAACAAAAGACAAACCAACCCAAUCCAAUCCCCCCCCUUUUUCAAGCUGUGGAGAUCAUCAGGGAAAUGUGGUGUGGUGUAAAUCUUCAAGGCCAGUAAAUGCUCUAAGGUGCUUGCAUUUUGUGUUCCUGGAGCAAACCUCA